This 497-nucleotide ribosomal RNA is filed under the name uncultured bacterium. RNAcentral describes it as "partial 16S ribosomal RNA". It matches the Rfam family "Bacterial small subunit ribosomal RNA", at positions 28 to 507 of the family's 1533-position model. The record is from RNAcentral.
GAUGAACGCUGGCGGCGUGCCUAAUACAUGCAAGUCGAGCGAACAGAUGAGUAGCUUGCUCCUCUGACGUUAGCGGCGUACGGGUGAGUAACACGUUGUUCACCUCCCUCUAAGACUGGGCUAACUUCGGGAAUCCGGUGCUAAUACCGGAUAAUCUAUUGAACCGCAUGGUUCAAUAUUGUUCGAUGUUUUUUCUGUCCCUUAUAUAUGGAUCCGCGCCGCAUUAGCUAGUUGGUAAGGUAACGGCUUACCAAGGCAACGAUGCGUAGCCGACCUGAGAGGGUGAACGGCCACACUGGAACUGAGACGCGGUACAGACUCCGACGGGAGGCAGCAAUAGGGAAUCUUCCGAAAUGGGCGAAAGCCCGACGGAGCAACGCCGCGUGAGUGAUGAAGGGCUUCGGAUCGUAAAACUCUGUUAUUAGGGAAGAACAAAUGUGUAAGUAACGAUGCACGUCUUGACGGUACCUAAUCAGAAAGCCACGGCUAACUACGUG